GGGGCUGCACCGGUUUCGACGUGGGUUCGGACACGCAGCAGGGCAUGUCGAGGUUCUGUCACCUCGUUAAUCAGCAGAAAAAAACCAACUGCAAACGACGAACGUUUCGCACUCGCCGCUUAAACACCGGUGAGCUUCACAACAGCAGGCCGAUGGGCUGGGCAAGGGUGCCGCAAGGCGUCCAGGCUGUGAGGUAAUUUUCAUCGGCUGGGUCUGCAUCGUGCUCCUUGAUGCAGGCCGAGAUCCAAGGGGGCUGGCCGAUUCCACAGCGUGCCGCUGCGCGGUGGAACCGGCGAGAUCAAACCAGACGGCUACACAUGUAGAACUGCUCGGAGAAGGCUUGCGGACGGGGGUUCGAAUCCCCCCAGCUCCACCA
RNAcentral lists this transfer-messenger RNA (376 nucleotides) under Burkholderiales. Its description in RNAcentral is "Hydrogenophaga sp013823485 Standard tmRNA". It matches the Rfam family "transfer-messenger RNA". From Rfam's summary of the family: Bacterial tmRNA, also known as 10Sa RNA or SsrA, is named for its dual tRNA and mRNA-like properties. Its role is to liberate the mRNA from a stalled ribosome. Lineage: Bacteria; Pseudomonadati; Pseudomonadota; Betaproteobacteria. RNAcentral also lists the same sequence under 1 other name. The record is from RNAcentral.